AGUGAACGCUGGCGGUAGGCCUAACACAUGCAAGUCGAACGGCAGCACAGUAAGAGCUUGCUCUUACGGGUGGCGAGUGGCGGACGUGUGAGGAAUACAUCGGAAUCUACUUUUUCGUGGGGGAUCACGUAGGGAAACUUACGCUAAUACCGCAUACGACCUACGGGUGAAAGCAGGGGAUCUUCGCACCUUGCGCGAUUGAAUGAGCCGAUGUCGGAUUAGCUAGUUGGCGGGGUAAAGGCCCACCAAGGCGACGAUCCGUAGCUGGUCUGAGAGGAUGAUCAGCCACACUGGAACUGAGACACGGUCCAGACUCCUACGGGAGGCAGCAGUGGGGAAUAUUGGACAAUGGGCGCAAGCCUGAUCCAGCCAUACCGCGUGGGUGAAGAAGGCCUUCGGGUUGUAAAGCCCUUUUGUUGGGAAAGAAAAGCAGCAGGUUAAUACCCCGCUGUUCUGACGGUACCCAAAGAAUAAGCACCGGCUAACUUCGUG
RNAcentral lists this ribosomal RNA (492 nucleotides) under uncultured bacterium. Its description in RNAcentral is "partial 16S ribosomal RNA". It matches the Rfam family "Bacterial small subunit ribosomal RNA", at positions 29 to 507 of the family's 1533-position model. The record is from RNAcentral.